Molecule: long non-coding RNA, 22004 nt
Filed under: Citrus maxima (pomelo)
Lineage: Eukaryota; Viridiplantae; Streptophyta; Magnoliopsida; Sapindales; Rutaceae
Description: long non-coding RNA (CMAX_LNC000512)
Source: RNAcentral
GGAGAGAUUCCUUCAUCAUUUUGUAAUUUGAGUUCCAUUCAAUAUCUUUACUUAUUCAACAAUAGCUUGAGUGGACAAAUUCCACAGUGUCUUGGAAACUCUACACUUGAAACUUUAGAUCUCGGAAUGAACAACUUCCAAGGUAGCAUCCCACAGACAUAUGCAAAGGGCUGCAACUUGACUUAUCUUCGGCUGAGUGGCAAUCACUUGGAGGGACCAUUACCGCCAUCUUUGAUUAACUGUGUCAAUUUGCAAGUUCUUGAUGUUGGGAAUAACAACUUGAGCGGCCCAAUUCCAGAAUGUCUUGGAAACUCAACACGUUUGUCAUUUCUUGAUGUUGGGAAUAACAACUUGAGCGGCCCAAUUCCAGAAUGUCUUGGAAACUCAACAAGUUUGUCUUUUCUUGAUGUUGGGAAUAACAGCUUGAGCGGCCCAAUUCCGGAAUAUCUUGGAAACUCAACACUUGAAGUCUUGGAUAUGAGAAUGAACAAGUUCAGCGGCAGCCUCCCUCAAACAUUUGGAAAAAGUUGUGUUUUGGUAAGUCUUAAACUUAAUGGAAAUCGGUUGGAAGGACCAUUGCCUCCAUCUUUGGUUAAUUGUCGACAUUUAGAAGUUAUAGAUGUUGGGAACAAUCAGAUUAAUGAGACCUUUCCCCACUGGUUAGACGUUCUUCCCGAAUUGCAUGUACUUACAUUGCGUUCUAAUAGAUUUCGCGGUCCCAUUGGUGAUACCGAAACAAGAGUUCCUUUCCCCAAGUUGCGAAUAAUUGAUCUCUCUUACAAUCGAUUCACCGGUAUUUUGCCAAUAUGGUAUCUGAAUGGUUUUAAAGCCAUGAUGCACGGGGAUGUCAAUAGUAUUGAAGUCAAUUAUAUGAGGUCGUUGAAUUAUUCUUACUAUGAAUCAAUAUCUCUGACUAUGAAAGGCAAUGACAUACAAAUGGAGAGGAUUUUAACCACUUUUGCAACUAUUGAUUUGUCGAGCAACAGAUUUCAAGGGGAAAUAUCAGAAGUGUUGGGAAAGCUUAAUUCACUCAAAAGUCUUAACAUUUCUCACAACAACCUGACAGGUGGUAUUCCAUCGUCGCUAAGAAAUCUAACAGAGCUUGAAUCUCUAGACCUCUCUUCAAACAAGCUUGCUGGACGUAUCCCAACACAACUGGCGAGUCUCAAUUAUCUUUCGGUGUUGAAUCUUUCGAACAACCAGCUCGAGGGACCCAUACCAGGAGGACCCCAAUUUAAUACAUUUGGAAUUGAUUCCUAUUCUGGUAACUUGGGGCUGUGUGGAUUCCCAUUAUCAAAAAGCUGCAGGAUUGAUGAGGCACCAGAACCAACAACACCAACAGGAUUUAUCGAAGGAGACGACGCUUCAAGCUGGUUUGAUUGGAAGCUCGCUAUGUUGGGUUACGCAUCUGGAGUGGUGAUCGGCUUGUCCAUCGGAUACAUGGCAUUUGUGACUGGAAGGCCACAAUGGUUUGUAAGAAUGAUCGAAAGGAAGCAAUCCAGGAAGCUGAGAAGGGUGAUCAGUCGAGGCAGAGCUGGUAGAAGAAGUUUGUUGGUGCAUCUCUAAAGGCCCAGGUGAGUAAUUAUUAGUUUGUCUUUUGGAAUUAUAAGCUGGUUUCUACUGUUCUUUAAGUAGAUAGCAUGCUGAUAUUAUCGUAAUCUAACAGUUGACUUGCAAAAAUCACAAUCCUAAUUAAUUUCAAGUUAUGCUUAUUAUCAACAUCUAUAGUGAGAAACAAAAUGAGGAUAAUGUAUAAGAAAGAAAAUUUUAACUGAAUUAUUGAUGCGAUUGUUUUUACUUUUAUUGCCAUUUCAUUAGAACAUGUAAUCACGGACGUAUGUUUUGAUGGUAAAAUGAUUUGAAGUAAUAUUGUUGCAGGAAAUUGUGCGGGGGUAACUUUGGUUUGUAAUCAUGUACUUCAAAUUUGGGCGUAGAACAUGUUAUUUCAAAGUUUGUGAGCAGACAACGUUGUUUGCCUUUGGCUCAGUGAUAUCAAUUUAAAAACUCAGAGCUUAAUUAAUAACUCUAUUAAGUGUGUGCAUUGCCCUUCUUGGAUUGACAGCACUCAUCCCACACAUCUUCCCAUGCAAGGAUUUCCACUCAUCAAUUAGCAAAAAUUGAAAAACAUUAUAAUUAAAUGUGUGUGUGUACGUAUAUGAUUCAGCAGAGUACUCCUAGUCUUAAGUUGAACAUCAAUAAUUAAUUGAAAAACAUUAUAAGUAGAUGAGAUUACAAAUAUGAUCAAUGUUUAAUAAAAUCCACCAUCAAAAAAUGAAAAAGUCCUAAUUAAUGACUUUCAUUUUUUGAUCCUUCCAAUGAGUGCACAUAUAGCCGUGGAAAAGAAGCUAAAGUAUAUAGUCUGCAAUUUUACAAAACUGGCGACAAAUCAAUGCACCAACUAGACUCCAAAACAAGAUGACGAGUUACAUUUAGUAACAAGACUUGGUGCUGUAAGUCUAAAAGUAUUAUAUUUAUUAUUACUAUUUUUUUUAAAAGUGUUGUAUUUAAUUAGAUUCCCCUGUUUUGGUGUGAGUUAAGGAGAUGGCUACGAUAAGUUUUUUAUUCUCGUAAGGGGGACUUGAAUAAAGUGCUCAUUAUUAAUGGCUUUGAGAAAGAAAGACUUGUUCUAUAUAUCCCUCUUAAUUUGAACAAUCUUUCUUCAGCAACUUCCAACCUUUUUUUAUGCUUGCCAUGGGUUUCGUAGCUGUGGAAAAGAAGUUAAAGUAGUUUGGAAUUUUAUUAAAUUGGCCACAAAUUCAUGCAACUUUCAACCUUUUUUAUGGAUUCCAUUGGUUUCAUAGCAUGGAAAAGACGACAGACAACUAACAUUUCUCUUAUCUAUAUAUCGUAAGUGUUAUAACAUAUAUAUGGAUACCGUUUAUUCCUGUAACUUGUAUAAAACAAUAAUAACAACAACUGGAAUCUAGGCGGCUGCCACAUCACCAUGUAUGACAGACAGCCACAUCACCAUAUAUCAUUUGACCUUUAAUUUGGACUGGUUAGUGGAAAUUAGAAAAACUCGAAUAAUCAAAGUCUACUAAAGACGACAAGAAAGGAAACGAGUAAAAUACAAACAUAGUCUAUCAAUGCUUAUGCUUAAUGUGACGUUGCGUCUUGGCUGUAUUAAUAGAAAUCCUCCUCAUCUGCCAAUAGGCUCGCACCCUGUUGACAGCACUCAUGCUCUCAAAUCUUGAGAGCAAUUAAUUCGUGGGACUCACUUUUUUAUAUCCAUAUAAAUAGAGCAUAUAUCCCUCAAAAAUUUAUGAAAUUAUCCAUCCGACUUUUAAAUUAUACCAUCUCAGAGCUGAUGAGUGACAAGAUGAACAACGUUACUCAUUGCCUUUGAAUAUCCAUCCGACUUUUAGGAAAUUAUACCAUUUCAAGACCCAAAAUUGCAUUUGAAUUUAUUUUAAAUUACAGCCCUGAGGAAACUUCUAAGAUUUGUACUUUUAUUUUCAUAACAAAAUCCUAAGCUACUUCCGUUUGUUGCGUUUUUAAUUAAUUUCAGUUUACACCUUAAUCUUCUCUUAAUUUCUUUUCUUUUUUUUCAAACUCGCCAAUUGCGUUGCAAUGAUGCAAUCAACCCAAUAAGCUUGUUUGACCAGAGGUCUAAAGAUUCAAGUAAUGUUAGAUUUUCCAACAAUAAUGGAGCGCCACCUAUCAAGUUGUUGUGAGACAUUUGAGUGAAUUAAACUUUCCCACUAUUUACGGAAUUUCCCCUUGAAAUUGAUUGCUCAACAAAUGAAUUGACAUGAAAAUGGUUAGAAUCAUCUGUAUUUGUUGGUCUAUUCCUUCCAUGAUCAAACUUAUCAAUUCAUAGUAGGAGUUGAAAUCUUUAAGCCUCAUAAAUUUUGCUUAAUGAUCAACACAAUUGUUAUCUCCAUAUAUCAGGCUUUAAAAUUAUCAAGAUACUGAAUUGGCAAAACACGAGUCAGUUGAUUGUGAGAGCGAUCAAUUAUUUACAGCUUUGAAAUAGGAACUCUUGUUUGGGUAUGACCAAUGGGACUGCAAAUCAGUUAGAUCGUAAUAUAAUUACUUGCAAUUUAGGAAGAAUUUCUAACCAAUGAGAAGAGGUAUCAUUAACAUGAUUGUUCACAAUAUCAAAAAUUUCCAAAUGCUGAUAGUUAACCAAAGAUUGAGGCAAUAGUCCUUCCAACUGAUUGCUAUUAAGGUUAAAACUUAGGAAGUCACAGCUUUUUGCAAACAUUUGAGAAAUGCUGCAAAGAGUUGUAAUUUGAGAAAUCUUUAACCUUAAUGACAAUCAAUUAGAAGGAUUAUUACCUCUCUCUUUGGUUAACUGUUGGCAUUUGGAAGUUUUUGAUAAUAAAAAUGAUCAUGUUAAUAAUAUCUUUCUUUAUUGGUUAGAAAUUAUUCAUAAAUUGUAAGUGCUUAUAUUACGAUCUAACCAAUUUCGUGAUCCCAUUGGUCAUAUUAAAACAAGAGUUCCCUUCCCCAAGUUGGGAAUAAUUGAUCUCUCUCAGAAUUAACUCACUGGUGUUUUGCCAACUCAGUAUCUUGAAAAUUCUAAAGUCAUAAUGCGUGGGGAUAACAAUAAUGUUGAUUUCAACUCUUACUAUGAAUUAAUAAUUUUGACCAUAGAAGGAACCGACCAACAAAUGGAGAGGAUUCUAAUCAUUUUCAUGCCAAUUGAUUUGUCGAACAAUCAAUUUCGAGGAAAAUUUUAGAAGUGGUGAGAUAAAUUAAUUCACUUAAAUGUCUUAACAUUUUUCACAACAAGCUGACAAGUUGCAUUCCAUCAUUGUUGGGAAAUCUGUCAGAGCUUGAACGUUUUGACUUCUUCUCAAACAAGCUUAUUGGGCUGAUUCCAAUGCGAUUGGCGAGUCUGAAAUUUCUUUUCUUGCUAAAUUUUUUGUACAGCCAGCUUGAGGGACAUAAACCUCAAGGACCUCAAUUAACUACAUUUUCAAACGAUUUUUAUACUGUAAACUUGAGGUUGUGUGGUUUUCAUUAUCACAAAGCUAACAUUGAGACAUUAGAAUUGUUACUAACAAGAUUGGAUAAAAGAGAUAGUAAUUCGAGCUGGUUUGAUUGGAAGUUCGCUAAGAUGACCAAUGAACCUGGUGGCCUAUGGCAUGACACAUGUACAACACAUGGCAUAAUACAGGCAGAGUUUCAGUAGGGCACCAGAACGACAUGUGUCCGUACAACACGGUAUGAGCACAUUUUGAUAGGGCAUGUGGCACGACAUUACAUGGCACGUACGCGGGUUGAGCUAGGCUGGAUUAAUAAUUUUAGGUACAUGUGCUUAACAAGCACAAUACGAUUAGAGAUAGUAUAAAACACAACACAUGAAAAGGUCCGCAAUAAGAACGUUUAUCUGUUGGGCUAGCAUACGGCUUGCAGACCAUCAAUAACAUGUGGGCCAAUACAUAUUUUAGUAUUUUUUUUUUAUGAAAGUAAAAUUGAAAUUUUAUGAUUUUACAAAUAAUUUAAAUUUGAAUCUUUUUAUCUAUUUCAUUAGCAUAGUUUUUUAAAAAUUCAUUUAAUUCUUAGUUUUAAAAAAAUACUCUAAUUGUUUUACAUUUAUAAUUUACUAAAUGAAUAGAUGAUCAUGAUUUUAAAAAAUAAAAUUAUAAAUAUCAUGAUUUCAUAAAUGUAUGCAGUAAUGUGAUUAUUGAUACGAAAAUAUAGAUCAGCAAUAAGAGUUGAAAAAAAAUUAUUUACUUAGGGAACAAGUUGAGAGAGUUUGAUAUACUCAUAAUUGCCAUUAUUGAGAGUGAAAAGCUUGAUAAUCGGAAUUUUUUAAAACAAUAAGCCAUCAGGAUUCGCUUGGGGGUGUUAUCGUUGUAGACCCUCCGAUACUUAAGUUAAAGAUUAAAAAUAACAUGAUAAUAAAUAAAUAAUAAGAGAAAAAAGAGAAUAAGAGAAUAAAUAUUGUCAUACAAUAUACAUAUUUCGCAUGUAUCUUUAUAUGUAUACACACACACAGAGACACACACCUUUGAGUGAUGAUCUCUUUAUAUAAGAGUGCUAAUAAUAAAAAGUGUUUAAAUUUUAAAUUAUAAAUACCAUGUAAAUAUUGAAUUAAAAAAUAAAAUUAUAAAUACCAUGUAAUAGCAUUGCAGUUUCGUUGGCCAUCGCCUUGAAUUUAAAUUUUAAAAGAACCAAAGAAACAUAGUAAAUGUAAAAAUAACAUAAAAUAACAAAGCUUGAAGAAGUUUACUUCUUUACUUCUUGCAUUUUCAAACUCUACUAUUUUAGGGCUCAAAAUCACUUUCUAUUCUGCAUUUUAUAAAACUAGAAAUUAAAAAUACAAAAUUCUAUGGGAAUGUCGUGUGAUGCGUGGACACUGGGUAGAUAUUCACUGUUUAUAUCUCAGUGCCUUUUUCCUCACCCCUUAUGAGUAAGCUUUGAAUUAGGUACCCAAUUUGUCCAAGAGUUAGCGAGCCAAUGAUCACUCAUUCACUCUAAUUAGAUAUUUAGUGGAUGAAAAUUGAUUGGACGUAAAAGAAAAUGCAGAUGAAUAAUCGAAAUAACUUUCAAGUCCAAAAAAGCUUUGACUUACUUGAUGAUGUCUUGUUAUGAUCACCAAAUGGCUCAGUCUGUGCCGCGUCAACAUGUGAAAACUCAUCCACGUCACCAGCCUCAGCGCUCUCGCCACGUCAUCACUCAAGCGGUUGUAACUGAUGAUAAUUUGGAUAAGAAAAACAGUUGAAUUGGGUCUCUUUUCAACGGGAGAGCACCAAAGACAGAGAAACCAAAAUGGCGCGAGCUUUGCUUCGUUUGAAUAGCACGGCCACGGUCAUAAUGGCCAGUGCUACAAGUGCUACUAAAGAGACAGUUCUUGACGGAGCUCACUUUCAAAUGAAGAACCGAAAUGCCCGCGUUUUGGUACUUGGAGGUACGGGUCGGGUCGGUGCAUCCACUGCAGUUGCUCUCUCGAAGCUCUACCCCGACCUUCAGAUUGUAGUUGGCUCUCGAAACAGGUUAAAUAAUUAAUACCCUUUUCUUUCUUCUGUUUGGUUACCAAAAAAAGCAAGAAAUAAAGGAGGGAAAAUUUUCAAGCUUUGUUAUUUUUUAAUUUUUUUUGCGUUUACUAUGUUUCUUUGGUUAUUUUAAAAUUUAAAAUUCAAGGUGAUGGCUACUGGUAAACUGCAAUGCUUUUACAUGGUUCUGAAAGCACAUUUCUAAACAGUCACUCAACGACAAGUGAUUAUCAUGUCCCACAGUUGUAGAUUAGGGCUCCAAUUGGUAGUGAUGUUGUGCGGUCGUGGCUUGUUAAGACACAUCUACUCUUAAAUGAGAGCUGCUGUGAAACGAGAGCUCUAGUUAUGAAAUAAAAGUUCAUAGUGUCUGGUAAAUGCUACCUUAAAAUAAUCAUUUUGACAAAAAUAGUAAAGCUAAUAUAGGUCAGGCAAUUGUGGGUAAAAUCGUCAUAAUUUUCAAACUGUGAUUGUGAGUGUUUACCAAAUACUUUAAAGUUGUGAUUAGAUGGUAAUAAAAAAAGAGAACCUAAACAGUCCAUAAUAAUAUUGCCAAUGAGGCAAAAAUUGUAAUUCUCUCUCUUUUUGGUUUUCCUAAACAUUUGAAAGGCUGUUUUUGUUGAUUGAUAUGCUUUGACUGUGGUAUGUUAAUAUUUAGAAUGCUGUCAAACAUGCUAGUUCUUGGAUGGAACUAUGGGGACAUGGAGUUGUAAAUUCAAGUAGUUAUGGCUGGAAUAUUUCCUAAUUUACAGUGUUGCUGAGAAAAUUUUGCAUACCGCCAGGGAAAAAGGUGCUGCAAUGGUCUCUACAUUGGGGAAGAAUUCUGAAUUUGCUGAAGUUAACAUUUACAAUGAAGGCUCAUUAUUAAUGGCUUUAAGAGGUGAGAUCAUUCCUCACUGACUAGAUGUAUCUUCUAUUGUUCCACAUCAAUAAUUCUUUUUCUUCUAGAGUCGAAGUAAAGGGAUUUUUUUUUUAUUUUGCAGCGGAUAUUUCGUUAUUGACAAUAUUUUGAUGAUAUUUUAGUCUGUAUGUUAAAUGCUGUAACUUUGCUUCGUCAGAUGUGGAUCUUGUGGUUCAUGCAGCAGGACCUUUUCAACAGGCACCGAAAUGCACUGUAUUGGAAGCUGCCAUAGAGACCAAGGUGAGGAAAGGUAAAUGUUGUGUUUGAAUAUCUCUUUUCCAAGUCCAGUUUUCUAUGUUUUGUAUAUGUGAUAAUUGAAGCAUGUAUACAACUUUACUAUGUACCCAAGAUGUAAACUUAUGUGUUCUUUUUUGUGUCUCCUAACAGACAGCAUACAUUGAUGUUUGUGAUGAUACCAUCUACUCCCAGCGUGCAAAAUCCUUCAAGGACAGAGCAAUAGCUGCAAACAUUCCAGCCAUAACCACUGGAGGAAUCUAUCCAGGAGUGAGCAAUGGUGCUUUUAUGAACAUGAACAUUCUUGUCCUGCUAUCCGCACUUCUAGCACUGUAAAUGAUACGAUUAAGUGAAGAAUAAGGAUAGAGUACUAAUUCUUUAAUUGAAACAUGUGCAGACUACCAAUUCUUGCUUUAGAGCUAAAACUUAAUUGUUGGUAAACUCAUCGACCUGGCUCCAAAGUUCUUAUAUAUGGGUGCACAUAUUGGUUUGACAGAUAGCUUUAGUGACUUUAUAUCAUUAACUUGAGUAUUGCAACUAAGAUAAAGCUCAAAGCUUUCUUUGACAAAGUCUUCAAAAUCUUGAGCUACUUGCACGACAUAAUGAUUUGAAGAAAUAAUAAUGUUGAUGUAGGAAAUGGUGUGGGCAACUUUUAUUUGUUUGUCUUGGGCCAGUAUGUUGGAUUUGGAAAUAUUGGAAGCUUGCAACGAUACAAGAAUCAUUCACCGCCUGCAGACAGCUAUGAUCCAUAUAUGCGAUUUUUGCCAUGUUUAUUUUUCAUAAGAAAUUCAAAUGCUACUUCAGAUUCUAUUAAUAAAUCCCGAAUUCUUGUACAUCCAAAUUUCAUUGUUUCAUGAUUUAUCAUAAUCCAAUAAAGUCUUGAAUGCUUGUACCAAUUCAAAGGUUAGUUGUGGAUCAACAAAAAGAAAUAAAAUGUAUGGGGCUGGACACAUGUCCUAUAUAUAUAUACCAGUUAAUUUUUUUGCCAAGAUAUCUCCACUGUUGGUUAUCUGCUUGAGUCUGAAGCAAUUGUCAACAUUAUAUUGUCUCCAAUAAAUACCUUGAUUGCAUAAAUCAAGCACUUGAUUACUAGCGUAAUCUUGGGGCUAGCUGUAUACUUAUUGUAAAAUACCCAAAUUAUUGGGAUUGAUUAUUCUACUUACCUUGUACAGAAUUAUUUUACAACUAUAAGAACUGGUAUGUCUCAACAAAUUGGGAGAACCUUUUUUCCAAAAAUUAUUUGUCUCUUUUGUUCUCUUUUAUUUGAUAUGGUAUCAGAGCUAUGCAUGUAUAAGAGAAAAUCUUGAAAUUUCUUAUAACAUCAUAGCAAGUUGUUGUGUUGUUCGCGGAUAGAGAUAUCAACUUUCAUUCGUGGAAAUUGAGAUCUUAUUGUUGCAAUCUUGAUUGAGAGUUUGAAUCGUGUCGGUGGGACAUCUUGGGUAAGUGAACAUUUUCUUUAUUCUAGUGUUUAAAAUGUCACAAUCAGAAACCUUGGGUAUCAAAUUAGAUGGGAAAAACUAUUUCUCUUGGGAAUUUCAAUUUCGCAUGUUUGUGAAAGGAAAAGACUUGUGGGGUUAUGUUGAUGGGUCUGAUUCUAGGCCACAAGAAGGAACUGAUAGUGUGAAAAUAAAGGAAUGGGAUUCAAAUAAUGCUAAAAUAAUUAGUUGGAUUUUGAGCUCUGUUGAUGCUCGUAUUGUUCUUAGUUUGAGGCCUUUUCGUUGUUCUAAGGAUAUGUGGAAUUAUUUAAAAAAAAUUUACAAUCAAGAAAACUCUGCUAGAUGUUUUCAACUUGAAUUAGAGCUGUCUGAAUAUAGUCAAGGGAACUUGUCAAUACAAGAUUAUUAUUCUGGUUUUUUAAAUCUAUGGGCUGAAUACCAAGAAUUGGUUUAUGCUACUGUUUCACAAGAGGGGCUGUCUACUUUGCAACAAGUGCAUGAAGUGUCUAAACGAGAUCAGUUUCUUAUGAAAUUAAGGCGUGAUUUUGAACCUAUUCGUGCCAAUCUAAUGUCCAGAAUUCCUUCUCCAUCUUUGGAUAUAUGUCUUGCUGAACUUCUUCGUGAAGAACAACGAUGUAUAACUCAAUCUGUUCUUGAAAUAAAGAAUAAUCAGGUAUCUAAUCCAAUGGAGGUGGCAUUUGCAUCGCAAGCACAUGCAAGGGACAUGAGCAAAGUGCAAUGCUAUAGUUGCAAAGAAUUUGGACAUAUAGCCAAACAAUGCAAAAAGAAAUUUUGUAACUAUUGCAAGAAACCUGGACAUGUGAUUGAUGAAUGUCGACGACGGCCUCAAAAUAAAAAUCCUCAAGCCUUGCAAACUACUAGCUCAAAUUCACAUUCAGAACCUAGUUCCACAAGCCUUACUCCUGAAGUGGUACAACAGAUGAUUUUUUCAGCAUUAUCAGCUCUUGGUGUUUCAGGUAAAAAUGCUUCUUCAUCUCAUUGUUACAUUGAUUCUGGUGCUUCCAACCAUAUGACACCUUCAUCCACAUCUCUUGUCAAUGUGAAACCAUCCUUGGGAAAUUUAGAAAUUCAAACAGCAAAUGGAGAAAGUGUUCCUGUUAAAUCAAUUGGUGAUAUUCCACAUACUUUGCCUUUAACUAAUGUAUUUCAUGUGCCUUGUUUAACUUCGAGUCUUAUUUCUGUUGGGCAAUUGGUUGAAGAUAAUUGUACAGUUUUUUUUUCAAAAUCUGGUUGUAUUGUACAGGAUCAAGAAACGGGGAAAGUGAUCGGGAAGGGACCUAAAUGUGGAAGACUGUUUACUCUAAGCUUGCCUGGCUAUCUCAAGAAUAAAGCCUUGUUCUCUUCACAUUAUUCUACUUUCAUUUCUCUUUUUCAAUUGUGGCAUAAACGUUUGGGUCAUCCAAAUACCAAAACUUUGUUAUCGUUGAUAAAGAGUCGAUUGAUUUCUAAUAAAGAUUUUGUUAAUUCUUCAGAUGUGGUAUUUAAUUGUGAUAGCUGUAAACUUGGUAAAAGUAAAACACUGCCUUUUCCAGUACAUCAAAAUAAUGUAAAAAGUUGUUUUGAUUUGAUUCAUACAGAUGUUUGGGGACCAUCUCCUUUUCCUUCUCAUUCUCGUAAGAAAUAUUUUGUUUCCUUCAUUGAUGACUAUAGCCGUCACACAUGGAUUUAUUUUUUACAUAAUAAAUCUGAUGUAUUUGAUGCCUUUAAACGUUUUCUUGCAUAUACAAAAAAUCAAUUUUCCACUUCUAUCAAAAUCUUAAGAUCUGAUUCUGGAGGGGAAUACAUGUCUAAUGAUUUUCAAAAUUUUCUUCAAAAUGAAGGAAUAAUAUCUCAAAAAACUUGCCCAGACACUCCUCAGCAAAAUGGAAUAGCUGAAAGAAAAAAUCGACAUCUUUUGGAUGUUACUCGUGCUUUGCUUCUUGAUGCAUCUGUACCUUCUCAUUUUUGGGUGGAAGCCUUGUCUACAGCUGCAAACUUGAUUAAUUGUAUGCCAUCAUUUAACCUUUAUAAUGAGUCUCCAUAUUUCCGUUUGCAUAAUAAACAUCCUGAUUAUACUCAAUUACGUGUUUUUGGCUGUCUUUGUUAUUGUCAUCUUCCUGCAUCAGAUAGAAAUAAAUUGACUGCACAAUCUGCAAGAUGUGCAUUUCUUGGGUACGCAUCUGAUCGCAAAGGUUUCCUUUGUUAUGAUCCCAAAGCUCGUCGUACUCGCAUAUCUCGGAAUGUUAUUUUUGUUGAAAAUAUUUAUUUUUUUCAAAAUACCCAUGUCACUACUUCUUUAUCUCCAUGUUCUAAUCUUCAUGACUUUGAUAGUGAUAUUCCUAACAAGGCAAGGUUUAAUCUUGGGAUAGAAAGUGAGCAACGAGACAAAACUAACAGUGAAGAAACAGAGGGUCCUCAGCGAGAAUCUUCCUUAUCUCUUGAUCCAAGCCCUGAAACACAUGAUCCAAGUCUUGAAACACAUGAGUCAAACACAAUAUCCGCUGCACCUCCAUUACGAAGAUCUAGUAGACAAAUCAAACCACCUGACCGCUUGUCUCUUGUGGCCACAUUGUCACCUAUGAGUAUUCCAAACUCUUAUUCCCAAGCCAAACAAUAUUCACAUUGGCAGGUUGCAAUGGAUGAAGAGCUAGAAGCGUUAAGAAGAAAUCAUACAUGGGAUAUUGUCUCUUGUCCCGCUGGUUGUACACCAAUCGGGUGCAAAUGGGUUUACUCUAUCAAACAAAAAGCUGAUGGUUCUUUGGAUCGUUAUAAAGCUCGUUUGGUUGCUCUUGGGAAUUGGCAAGAAUAUGGUAUAAACUAUCAUGAGACUUUUGCUCCAGUGGCCAAAAUGACCACAGUUCGCAUUUUGUUAGCGAUUGCGGGUUCACAAGCAUGGCCUCUUUUUCAAAUGGAUGUAAAAAAUGCAUUCUUGCAUGGAGAUCUACAAGAAGAAGUCUACAUGAAGCUUCCGCCUGGAGUAAGCUCUAAUUCAAAAGCUCAAGUAUGUCGUCUACGACGUUCUCUUUAUGGGCUUAAACAAGCACCACGUUCAUGGUUUACAAAGUUUGGUCAAAUACUGCAUCAGUUGGGUUUUCACCAGAGCUCUAAUGAUCCUUCUAUGUUUAUUCGACGUUCAGCUGCUAGUAUCAUUAUUCUUCUUGUUUAUGUAGAUGAUAUAAUUAUUACGGGGACUGACACAUUUGGUAUCCAGCAAUUUAAGGAGUCUUUGCAUUCAUAUUUUCAAAUGAAAGAUCUUGGCAAUCUCACUUAUUUUCUUGGCCUUGAGGUAUAUCAUUCAAGUGAAGGCAUCUACGUCCAUCAGCAUAAAUACACAAAAGAUUUAAUUGCUUUGGCAAGACUUGAAGAUUCAACGGUCAUAAACACUCCACUUGAGAUCAAUGUUAAAUAUUCGAAAGAUGAUGGUGACUUGCUUUCUGAUCCUACACUAUAUCGGAAACUAGUUGGGAGUUUGAUUUAUUUGACGAUUACCCGACCAGACAUCUCUUAUGCAGUGAACUUAAUGAGCCAAUUUAUGCAUGAGCCUCGACAUUUACAUCUUUCAGCAGUUAAAAGAAUAAUCCGUUAUUUGCUUGGGACUCCUAAUCGUGGACUAUUUUACAAGGCUAGCUCCCCUCUUGUUCUCAAAGCUUAUAGUGAUGCUGAUUGGGCUGGGUGUUCAGACUCUCGUCAAUCAACUACAGGUUGGUGUAUGUAUCUUGGUGACAGUCUUGUCUCUUGGAAAUGCAAAAAACAAGAGAGGGUGUCUAAAUCCUCUACUGAAGCCGAGUAUAGAGCUAUGUCGGGUGCUUGUUCUGAAAUCGUAUGGCUACGACGACUUGUAUCUGAAUUGGGUUUUCCUCAAGCGUCUCCAACGCUAUUGCAUGCUGAUAACAAGAGUGCCAUACAAAUUGCUGAAAAUCCUGUAUUUCAUGAAAGAACUAAACAUAUUGAGGUUGACUGCCACUAUAUUCGAGAUGCUUAUGCUGAUGGUACCAUUCAAUUACCUCAUGUGUCCACAACAUUUCAAAUUGCAGAUAUAUUUACAAAGUCCCUGACCAAGAUACGGCAUCAGUUCUUGGUUGGCAAAUUGAAGCUUGUUGAUUCACCAGCAUCAAUUUGAGGGAGGCUGUCAACAUUAUAUUGUCUCCAAUAAAUACCUUGAUUGCAUAAAUCAAGCACUUGAUUACUAGCGUAAUCUUGGGGCUAGCUGUAUACUUAUUGUAAAAUACCCAAAUUAUUGGGAUUGAUUAUUCUACUUACCUUGUACAGAAUUAUUUUACAACUAUAAGAACUGGUAUGUCUCAACAAAUUGGGAGAACCUUUUUUCCAAAAAUUAUUUGUCUCUUUUGUUCUCUUUUAUUUGAUAGCAAUAACAGAAAAAAAAUAGAAAAGAAAACAAUGACUAAUAUGACUAGUUAUUAUUAAAUUAGUCGUUAAAUAGUUAUUUAUUCUUAUUACGAUAAUUGAGGCAAUAAAUUGCACAUUCUUGUUUAAUUUUGAGUUCUUCAUUGAUAACGUUCAAAUUUUUAUUUUUUAUUUGAUUUUUUUUCCUAAUUUUAGGGGGGAGAAAAGGUAAAGAAUGAGAGAUUAUUUAAUAAAUUAAAUUUAGAGCACAAGCACAGAAGCAUUAAGCUCCUGCUAAACUGUUGUUCGACUUGCAAGUUUUUGGAUCAAAUAAUAAAGUUUGUGCCUUGAGAAGUUAGCUCAUGGCUGGAAUGUUAUUUCUAAUCUAGAGCUAGCGUCCUGAGACAACAGAAGUUAACAUUAACAAUAGAAGACUCAAUUGGUAGACAUUAUUCUUUUACACUAAAUACACAAUUGAGUUCACAGCUAUUCAAAAAAUGGGGCAGUUUUUUAUUUAAUUACAAAAUUACCCUUAUUGAAACCCAUAUAAGAGUAUUUAUAUUAAUUAGUUAUAUUGCUUCUUCAACUAUCAUCAAAUUCUUAUUCGAGUUCAUCAUUUAAGGAAUAAAUGUGUACUAAAUAAUCUCAAAUGAUGUACUAAGCAAAUAUUUUGAGAAAUAAGACUCAUUAUGGCUCCUUUCAUUAGUUGUAUCUUUAAUUUCUUAUUAAUGAAAUUCUCUCGCAUUGCCCAAAAAAAUAUUGUUAGCGUCACCAUUGAAAGGGGCCAAAUUAUGUAUUGUCUGACUAGUGAAACUCUUAUCAUAUCUGCUAAUACGUAUCAGGAAAAUUAUAUUGUUGCAGGAAAAUAGAUUUUCCAAAAAUCUGUCCUUUGGCCGACCGAUCCUAUAUGAUCCUUGUUCAAAUUGGCCCCGUGUGUGGCACGUCAACAUGUCAAAACUCGGCCACGUCAUCAACUUCGCAAAAUUCUCGCCACAUCAUCACUGAACUGGUUACGACGGAUGAUAAUUUGGACAAGCAAAACAGUUGAUAAUUACAAAGAGGGAACACUAAAGGCAGACCAAAGUGGCGCGAGCUUCGCUUAUUUGUACCAAGUAAAUGAAUUUUAGCUGAAAAAAAAGUAGGCCCAUAAUUAUAAAGCAAUGGCCCAGUACUAUACACGUCAUUACAAAAAAAAAAAAAAAAUCGAAACAGAGCUCAAUUUCAAACGAAGAUCCAAAACGCCAGCAUUUUGGUGCAGCCGUUGCUCAGAGUUUUUUCUUUUUAUAUGCCGAAGAAGUGCUUAUUUUCCAAAUAUAUAUCCCUUCUUUCCAUUUAUUCACUUAUAUACGACAAAUUCACCUGCAUAAAGAUUGAAAUACUCUCAUUUGUGAAUUACAAGUUGCAAAUUUUCUAUUUCAAGAUGAAGUUCAUUUACCUGUUCUUUACCAUCUUCAAAAUUUUCCUCUCAUUUUUAUUUCACUUUCUCAACUUCAAAAUUUACCUGCAUAAAGAUUUCUGAUUUCGAAUUAGAAUUGUGAUUCUUCACUUUCUGAUCCUUCCUAUGAGUUUCAUGGCUGCGGAAAAUGUAGAAGUACUAGUUUGAGAUUUUAUAAAUUGUUCAAAAAACCUCUGUCCAAUAGAUUAUAAGGAUAAGCAACAAGACUUGGUGCUCAAAAGUCUAAAAGUAUUAUAAAGACUUGGUAACUCUCUUAUUCACCUGCAUGGCAUAUCUGUUCUUGUGCCUUCAAUAAGAAAAAAGAUAGUAUGGAUUAUUUAACUCAGCCUUUUCAACUUUUGAUUUGCCUCCAGUUAUUGCUCUUAUAUCUUCAGUGGACUUGACUGAAAUGCUCAUUAAUGACUAGAAAAAAUUAUCUUAACUUAUAAGGUGGACUUGACUGAAAUGCUAAUUAAUGACUUUGAGAAAGAAAGACUUGUCAAGUUUUUCUAUACAUACCUCUUAAUUUGGACAUAUCUUAGGUCACUAACUUUCAACUUUUCUGAUCCUUCCCAUGAGUUUCACUAUCAUAGCCGUGGAAAAGAAGUUUGGAGUUUUACAAAAUUGGGAAAAAAUAUUAAUUAAGAUUACUGCUCCGCAAUUCAUGCAAUUGACCAGGAGAAAAGAUCACUUUAGAGCCUUAUAGGGGGAAGGGAUUGAAGGAAAGAUGCCUUUCUAUUUUAAGUUCAGUAGUAAGAAAGAGCAGGCAACUUGGCAUAAGUUUUCAGCUUAAGUUCAUACAGUUGACCAGUUACAUACAUAUAUGAUGACUUAAAAUAUCUGAGAGUUCGGGUUUCUUUUAGUAUAAACGCAUCUGCUUUUGGACAGGUUCGUGGAAAAACUAGAAUAUGUUUUUGAUUUGGUAAAUUAUGUAUUGUUUUGACCAGUUACAUACAUAUAUGAUAACUAAUGGAAGGUCUAACAACUUAGCUUAACAAACUGUAACAGAAUCAAAACAGGGGAGGGAAGAUGAAUUGUGUUUGUGUAAAUGACUGUUAGUCUAGUUAGCUGUUACGCCGGCAAAUAUGAUAACGAACAUCUCGCCGAACUUAAGUAAAUAUCUAAAUGGUUAUUAAUUGGAUACAGCUUCAGCUUUUGGACUGGUUUAUGGAAAUUGAAAAAAUUUGACAAGUGUUCCUCUUGAAGAAUCAAAGUCUACUUUAUACGUGAAGAAAGGGGAUCCCAGUAAAGAUAAUCCAUCAAUGUUCAGUUACAUUCGAGCGUGUUGACUACUUUUAGGAUGAAAGACUUCUAUUGUCCCAAGGAGUUUUACGAGGUCCAUACACAGAGCUGCAAACAGCGUAAGUUACACUCCCCUUAUGCAACAUUCAAAUGAAAUCCAUACAAUCAUGCAAGUCAAAUCAAUACAUACUGAAUAGCUUACCUCAGAAUCUUCACCUGCUGACGCGAGAAUGUUUAGAACCUUUGAGGAUGCAAGGCCAGUUACACUCCCCUUAUGAACAAAUUCAGUGGCAGCCUUCCUCAAACAUUUGCAAAAAGUUGUGUCUUGACAAGUCUUAACCUCAAUGGUAAUUGGUUGGAAGGACCGAUGCCUCCAUCUUUGGUUAACUAUCGGCAUUAUAAGCUGGUUUAUGUAUUGUUCAUGGAGUAGAUAACCAGCUGAUAUGUUUCAUAUUCUAACAGUUGAUAUACAAAAAUCCCAAUUCAAAUUAUGUUUAUAAUCAGCGUCUAUAGUCUAUAGAGAGAAAGAAAAUGAGGGUCAUACAUAAGAAAUCAAUGAUAGGACGUGUUCUCUUGAUCAGGAAUUUUAGACUUUUGGAAGCUAGUAGUGGAAGUCAAAUAAUCUCCAGGUACCAAAAUAUGUUUUGCUUUCAUUUCCAUUGCAUAAGAACAUGAUAUCACACACUUAUAUUUUGAUGGUUAACUUGAUCAAAAUUUUCAGGAAAAAGUUAUUUAAAAAUAAUUUUGAUGUAGGAAUGAUUUGGGGUGAAAUUCAUUUGGUGCCAUUUAGGCCACAUUUUUUCAAUUGGGCGUAUGGUAUAUACUUUUUCAAAGCUGGUGACAAGAUGAACAAUGUUGCCCAUUUGCCUUUGAGUCUGAUGCCCGUGGGGCUUUUACGAAAUUGUACAAUUUCAGGACUCAAAAUCCCAUUUGAAGUUAUUUCAAAUUCCAGCACUUCGGGAAAUUUCUAAGAUUUGUACUUUACUACUUUUAUUUUCAUAACCAAUUCUUAUUUUCUUAGCACUUUUUGGAGAACAUACAACUGAAAUCAUUUUUACCUAAUAACCUAGCAAAAAGCUACUACAUAUCACAAUGUUGACCUCUGGGCUAAUCAAGCAUUUGACUUUCCUAAUACAAUUUAUCACAAAACGAUUAUCCCUUUUCAUAUUUUAAGUUCAAUAAUAAGAAAGAGGAGGCACCUUCCAAAUGUAUGCACCUUUUUUAGUUUUAUCCCACAAAACUUUAUCACAAAACAAUGGCCUUUUCAUAUUUUGAGUUAUUGCUCAAUCCCUUUACAAAAAAUUAUGCACAUUUACUAGGGAUAGAAAAUUGAAAAGAAAAUUUUCGAUAAGAAAACAGCUGAAUAAUCGAAUUUCGAGUCUUUGGUGGACGUUAUUCUUUUAUACAAAAUAUAUCUUUGAGUUAAACAAUUAUUAAAACAUUGGGGCUAGUUUUUCAUUUAACUACAAAAUUACUUUUUUUGAAACCCAUAAAACCAUUUUUAAGUGGUAAAUUAGUUCUAUCACGUCUUCAACUAUUGCCAAAUUCUUAUUUGAGUUCACCAUUUUACUAGUAAAUGCGUUAUCUAAAUAAUUUCAAAUGAUGUAUUAAAUAAAUAUUUUGAGGAACAAGACUCAUUAUGUCUCCUCUCAUUAGUUGUAUUUUUAAUUUCUUUUUAAAAGAUUCUCUCAUAAUCAAUUAAAAAAAUUCAGCCACCCAAAAAAAAAAAAAGUAUUUAGCUUCGCGGCGGAAUGGGGGCUAAAUUGUGUAUUGUUUAACUGGUGAAACUCUUACCACAUCGACUAAUAUGCUGCUUUUGCUAGUGGCAGUGGUGGCAACAGAGCUUGCUCAUAUUGGUAGAAGUGAAAGCAAAGGAGAGACAGAGAGACUAAUUAAGGUUUAUUAUGGUGAAGUCCUGGGUCAGUCGCUUUUGCUGAAAUGAUUGCAAGUAAUCUCCCACUAUGACUGCCAUUUUUAUCUUAUUUAAGUUUCGGUGAAGCCCAUUCACAUAAAAUAAUUGGCAGGAAGUGUUAAGGAGAAAAGAUCGUCCUAAUUCAAUGUCUGGGGGUGCUGCAAUCACUUUUUAUUACUAAAUAUUUUUAAAUUGGAAUAAUGUAUUAACAGAAUAAAAAAUUUCAUAAUCUAACAAUUGAUUUACAACAACCCGAGUCCUGAUUAAAUUCAAAUAAUAAUUAUAAUCAACAUCUAUAGGAAAAUUGAAAACGAGAAUCAUAUGUAAAAAGAAAUCAUUUCGUAUGCCCAUUACCAUAUUAUAUUUGUACAUUAGAAAUUAAUAUAAAAUAAUAAUUUAAUAAUUAAUUUAAUAUAAUUAAUAAUAAAGCAGUAAUAAAUUUAAACAAUAUUAAUACAAAAUUAAUAAAGUAUAAUCUAACAUUAAAUACUAUACAAUAUUAUUAUAAUAAAAUACUAAUUCAAUACCACAUAAAGUAAUAUACUUGCAUUAUUUGGAACUGGCAUAAAGUAAAAUUAAUAAAGUAUAUCAACGCACAUGGAAAAUGCGACUUUUGAAGAAUGCAGUAAAUGGAAGGUUAAAUAGACUUCGUGCAUGCUGUAAAUUUAAAUGAAUCAUAAUUAAUUUCAAAAGGUAGUAAAUGGAAGGCCGAACAACUUUUUUAACAAACUGAAACAGAAUUAAAUCAAUUGUGCUUUGUGCAUAAUGUAUAUGACUGACUAACUAACUAACUACGAGUUUAGCUGCCUGCCACAUCAGCAUUAUAUAACACAUAACUAAUAUCAUUCCGCGUCGAGCAUGUCGUCAAGAUCCCCCUCUUGAAAGGAUUCCACUUACCACCUAAAUUCCAAAGCAAGAAGACUUGGUGCUGUAAGUCAAUAAAUAUUAUAUUAUUAAUUAAUUACACACCAUAUUCAACUUCUAUAAAUAGUCAUUAUAUCUCUCUCUCUUCUUGUGAUUUCAUCAUCCAGAAAAGAAAAAGAAAAAGAAAAAGAAAAUGGGUUAUAUCACUCAGCCUUAUCAACUUUUUAUUUGCCUCCAGUUAUUGCUCUUCUAUUCUCAGUGUUCAGCAAUACUUUGCUCUCACCACCAAAGUUCUGCUUUACUCCAAUUUAAGCACCUCUUUUCCUUUGAAAAACAUUCUUCAUGGUUUUGUGAAACAUUUCAACUACAAAUAUCUCGUCCAAAGAUGAUGUCUUGGAAAGAGGACUCUGAUUGCUGCUCCUGGGAUGGAGUAGCAUGUGAUUCGGCGACGGGUCACGUGAUUGGCCUCGACCUCAGUUGCAGUUGGCUUCACGGCAACAUCCCUUCCAACAGUAGCCUUUCCUUGCUUCCUCGCCUGCGAAAGCUCAACCUGGCUUUCAAUGAUUUCAAUGGCUCUAAGAUUUCUUCUGGUUUUACUAAUCAAUUUCCGAGCUUGACACUCCUUAACCUCUCUUGGAGCAAUUUCUCAGGGUCAAUUCCUACGUCACUAGGUAACAAUAUUACACAACUUGCUUAUUUGGAUCUCUCACAAAACAGUUUUACUGGUUAGAUUCCAUCAUCUUUUUCAAAUCUCCACCAGCUUCGUCAUUUAGAUCUUCGGUCCAGUAACAUUGUUGGUAAAAUUCCUGCAUCAUUAGGUAACAAUAUUACACAACUUGCUUAUUUGGAUCUCUCACAAAACAGUUUUACUGGUCAGAUUCCAUCAUCUUUUUCAAAUCUCCACCAGCUUCGUCAUUUAGAUCUUCGGUACAGUCACUUUGUUGGUGAAAUUCCGGAUAUUUUUACCAACCUAACCCAACUUUCUGAUUUAGACCUGUAUGGGAAUCAACUGACUGGCUCGAUUCCAAGUUCAAUAUUUGAACUUUUGAAUUUGACAUUUUUCUCUCUUUCUUUUAGCAAUUUCAGUGGCAGCGUUGAGCUUUACGAUUUUGCAAAGUUAAAAAAUCUUAACUAUCUUUUUCUUUCUAAUAUUAGUUUAUCAGUGAGCACCAAAUUAACAGUCAACUCGUCUUUCCCUAAUCUUCUGGGGUUGGGUUUACCGGCUUGCAAUAUAAGUGAGUUUCCAGGCAUCUUGAGAACUCAUCAUCAGUUAGAGUGGUUGGACCUUUCUAGAAACCAAAUCCGUGGUAGGAUUCCCAGUUGGAUGUGGGAGAUCGGAGUACAUACUUUGUAUGUCCUAGAUCUUUCACGAAACUUCCUGACAAGCAUAGACCAUCUUCCGUGGAAAAAUCUCCAAUAUCUUACCCUUGAUUCGAACCUACUUCAAGGAUCACUUCCAGAUCUACCACCUCACAUGGUACGGCUUUCAAUUUCCAACAAUAAUUUGACCGGAGAGAUUCCUUCAUCAUUUUGUAAUUUGAAUUCCAUUCAAUCUUUUGACGUAUCCAACAAUAGCUUGAGUGGACAAAUUCCACAGUGUCUUGGAAACUCUACACUUGACACUUUGGAUUUCCGAAUGAACAACUUCCAAGGUAGCAUCCCACAGGCAUAUGCAAAGGGCUGCAACUUGAUUAAUCUUCAACUGAAUGGCAAUCACUUGGAGGGACCAUUGCCAUCUUUGAUUAACUGUGUGAAUUUGCAAUUUCUUGAUGUUGAGAAUAACAACUUGAGCGGCCCAAUUCCAGAAUAUCUUGGAAACACAACACGUUUGUCAUUUCUUAAUGUUGGGAAUAAUAGCUUGAGCGGCCCAAUUCCGGAAUGUCUUGGAAACUCAACACUUGAAAUCUUAGAUAUGAGAAUGAACAAGUUCAACGGCAGCCUCCCUCAAACAUUUGCAAAAAGUUGUGUUUUGGCAAUUCUUAACCUUAAUGGCAAUCGGUUGGAAGGACCAUUGCCUACAUCUUUGGUUAAUUGUCGAUAUUUGGAAGUUAUAGAUGUUGGGAAUAACAACUUGAGCGGCUCAAUUCCAGAAUGUCUUGGAAACUCAACAGGUUUGUCAUUUCUUGAUGUUGGGAAUAACAACUUGAGCGGCCCAAUUCCAGAAUGUCUUGGAAACUCAACACGUUUGCGAUUUCUUGAUGUUGGGAAUAACAGCUUGAGCGGCCCAAUUCCAGAAUGUCUUGGAAACUCAACACUUGAAGUCUUGGAUAUGAGAAUGAACAAGUUCAACGGCAGCCUCCCUCAAACAUUUGGAAAAAGUUGUGUUUUGGAAAGUCUUAAACUUAAUGGAAAUCGGUUGGAAGGACCAUUGCCUCCAUCUUGGGUUAAUUGUCGACAUUUGGAAGUUAUAGAUGUUGGGAACAAUCAGAUUAAUGGUACCUUUCCCCACUGGUUAGACGUUCUUCCCAAAUUGCAAGUUCUUACAUUGCGUUCUAAUAGAUUUGGUGGUCCCAUUGGUGAUACCAAAACAAGAGUUCCCUUCCCCAAGUUGCGAAUAAUUGAUUGCUCUCACAAUCGACUCACCGGUGUUUUGCCACUACGGUAUUUGGAUAGUUUUAAAGCCAUGAGGCCUGGGAAAAACAAUAGUGUUGAAGUCAAUUAUAUGAGGUUGCCAGAUUCUUCUAAUUACUAU